Small nucleolar RNA from Tupaia belangeri (northern tree shrew), 64 nucleotides. The record is from Ensembl. Lineage: Eukaryota; Metazoa; Chordata; Mammalia; Scandentia; Tupaiidae.
AGAAGAUGAUAAACUUACUAUUGGGUGAACAGAAACUGUGUCUUGAUUGUCAGGUUCUGAUUUG